Molecule: ribosomal RNA, 465 nt
Filed under: uncultured bacterium
Lineage: Bacteria
Description: partial 16S ribosomal RNA
Rfam family: Bacterial small subunit ribosomal RNA
Source: RNAcentral
CCUACGGGGGGCAGCAGUGGGGAAUAUUGCGCAAUGGGCGAAAGCCUGACGCAGCGACGCCGCGUGAGGGAUGAAGGUCUUCGGAUCGUAAACCUCUGUCAGCAGGGAAGAACGGUCACUGUGCUAAUCAGCAGUGAAUUGACGGUACCUGCAAAGGAAGCACCGGCUAACUCCGUGCCAGCAGCCGCGGUAAUACGGAGGGUGCGAGCGUUAAUCGGAAUUACUGGGCGUAAAGCGCUCGUAGGCGGUAUGUCAAGUCAAGGGUGAAAUCCCCGCGCUCAACGUGGGAACUGCCUGUGAAACUGGCAAACUGGAGUGUGUGAGAGGAUAGUGGAAUUCCAGGUGUAGGAGUGAAAUGCGUAGAUAUCUGGAGGAACAUCAGUGGCGAAGGCGACUAUCUGGCACAUAACUGACGCUGAGGAGCGAAAGCGUGGGUAGCAAACAGGAUUAGAUACCCGAGUAGUC